CCUACGGGAGGCAGCAGUGGGGGAUAUUGCACAAUGGGGGAAACCCUGAUGCAGCGACGCCGCGUGGGUGAAGAAGCGCCUCGGCGCGUAAAGCCCUGUCAGCAGGGAAGAAAAUAACGGUACCUGAAGAAUAAGCCCCGGCUAACUACGUGCCAGCAGGCGCAGUAAUACGUAGGGGGCAAGCGUUAUCCGGAUUUACUGGGUGUAAAGGGGUCGCAGUCGGCGAUGCAAGCCAGGCGGGAAAGCCCGGGGCACAACCCCGGGCCUGCUCUUGGAACUGCGUGGCUAGAGUGCAGGAGGGGCAGGCGGAAUUCCUGGUGUAGCGGUGACAUGCGGAGAUAUCAGGAGGAACACCGGUGGCGAAGGCGGCCUGCUGGACUGCAACUGACGUUGAGGCCCGAAAGCGUGGGGAGCAAACAGGAUUAGAUACCCCUGUAGUC
RNAcentral lists this ribosomal RNA (440 nucleotides) under uncultured bacterium. Its description in RNAcentral is "partial 16S ribosomal RNA". It matches the Rfam family "Bacterial small subunit ribosomal RNA", at positions 338 to 795 of the family's 1533-position model. The record is from RNAcentral.